This 253-nucleotide unclassified non-coding RNA is filed under the name plant metagenome. RNAcentral's name for it is "partial contains small subunit ribosomal RNA, internal transcribed spacer 1, and 5.8S ribosomal RNA". The stretch from base 1 to 54 matches the Rfam family "Eukaryotic small subunit ribosomal RNA", at positions 1778 to 1831 of the family's 1831-position model. The record is from RNAcentral.
AGAAGUAAAAGUCGUAACAAGGUCUCCGUAGGUGAACCUGCGGAGGGAUCAUUACAGAGUUCUCGCCCUUACGGGUAGAUCUCCCACCCACUGUUAUCGUUACUGUCGUUUCUUUGGCGGGCCGCCGGGUCCCCCGGCCGCCGGCGUCUAAUAGGCGGCGCGCGCCCGCCAGAGGCCUUCAAACUCUGAAUGUUAGUGUCGUCUGAGUACUACAUAAUAGUUAAAACUUUCAACAACGGAUCUCUUGGUUCUG